RNAcentral lists this ribosomal RNA (530 nucleotides) under Clostridium sp. 1xD42-85. RNAcentral describes it as "bacterial LSU rRNA". It matches the Rfam family "Bacterial large subunit ribosomal RNA", at positions 1579 to 2116 of the family's 2925-position model. The record is from RNAcentral. Lineage: Bacteria; Bacillati; Bacillota; Clostridia; Eubacteriales; Clostridiaceae.
AGAGUACCGAAGUUCCGGAUUUCACACUGCCAAGAAAAGCCUCUAGUAAGUUCAUAGGUGCCCGUACCGCAAACCGACACAGGUAGGCGAGGAGAGAAUCCUAAGGUGAGCGGGAGAACUCUCGUUAAGGAACUCGGCAAAAUGACCCCGUAACUUCGGGAGAAGGGGUGCUCCUUUAAGGAGGAGCCGCAGUGAAUAGGCCCAAGCGACUGUUUAGCAAAAACACAGGUCUCUGCGAAGCCGAAAGGCGAAGUAUAGGGGCUGACACCUGCCCGGUGCUGGAAGGUUAAGGGGAAACGUUAGUGCUUCGGCACGAAGCGUAGAACCGAAGCCCCAGUAAACGGCGGCCGUAACUAUAACGGUCCUAAGGUAGCGAAAUUCCUUGUCGGGUAAGUUCCGACCCGCACGAAAGGUGCAACGACUUGGGCACUGUCUCAACGAGAGACCCGGUGAAAUUAUACUAUGCGUGAAGAUGCGCAUUACCCGCGACAGGACGGAAAGACCCCGUGGAGCUUUACUGUAGCCUGAUA